GGGGUUGUAGUUAAGUAUUAACAUUUAAAUUGCAAUUAAAAAACACUAAAUAUAGUCUUCCUCA
This 64-nucleotide transfer RNA is filed under the name Graphosoma rubrolineatum. RNAcentral's name for it is "tRNA-Ala". The record is from RNAcentral. Lineage: Eukaryota; Metazoa; Arthropoda; Insecta; Hemiptera; Pentatomidae.